This 74-nucleotide transfer RNA is filed under the name Gorilla gorilla gorilla (western lowland gorilla). It matches the Rfam family "tRNA". From Rfam's summary of the family: Transfer RNA (tRNA) molecules are approximately 80 nucleotides in length. Lineage: Eukaryota; Metazoa; Chordata; Mammalia; Primates; Hominidae. The record is from Rfam by way of RNAcentral.
GUCUCUGUGGCACAAUCGGUUAGCGCUUUCGGCUGUUAAUCUAGAGGUUGGUGGUUAGAGCCCACUGAGGGACG